RNAcentral lists this ribosomal RNA (254 nucleotides) under uncultured bacterium. RNAcentral's name for it is "partial 16S ribosomal RNA". It matches the Rfam family "Bacterial small subunit ribosomal RNA", at positions 524 to 776 of the family's 1533-position model. The record is from RNAcentral.
UACGUAGGGUGCGAGCGUUAAUCGGAAUUACUGGGCGUAAAGGGCGCGUAGGCGGCCUCUGCAAGUCGGGUGUGAAAGCCCUCGGCUUAACCGAGGAAGUGCAUUCGAAACUACUGAGCUUGAAUACUGGAGAGGAUCGCGGAAUUCCCGGUGUAGAGGUGAAAUUCGUAGAUAUCGGGAGGAACACCAGUGGCGAAGGCGGCGAUCUGGACAGAUAUUGACGCUGAGGUGCGAAAGCGUGGGGAGCAAACAGG